AGGUAAGCUAUGAAGAGCAAAUGGUGGAUGCCUUGACUGGUAAAGGCGAUGAAGGACGUACUAGACUGCGAUAAGCUACGGGGAGCUGUCAAGAAGCUUUGAGCCGUAGAUGUCCGAAUGGGGCAACCCAAGAUAUAGAGAUAUAUCUUACCAUAAUGGAGCGAACGAGGGGAAUUGAAACAUCUUAGUACCCUUAGGAAAAGAAAUCAAUAGAGAUUGCGUCAGUAGUGGCGAGCGAAAGCGUAACAGGGCAAACCUAGUGCUUGCACUAGGGGUUGUAGGACUGCAAUGUGGAAGGAAUGAGUUUAGCAGAACACUCUGGAAAGUGUAGCCAUAGAGGGUGAUAGUCCCGUAUGCGAAAAACAAUUUCUACCUAGCAGUAUCCUGAGUAGGGCGGGACACGUGAAAUCCUGCCUGAAGCUGGGGAGACCACUCUCCAACCCUAAAUACUCCUACCAGAUCGAUAGCGAACAAGUACCGUGAGGGAAAGGUGAAAAGAACCGCGGUGAGCGGAGUGAAAUAGAACCUGAAACCAUUUGCUUACAAUCAUUCAGAGCCCUAUUGUGAGUCCCUUUGAGGAAUUUAAUGAACAUAGAUUCUAAAAAACUCUUUGUUAAAAUGAGUGUAUAAAAUACAAUGGAUAUAAAUCAAUAUUUGAUUUAGAGUUUGAAAGAGUUUAAAUCAUCAAUUCAUAUUUUAUAUUUUUACAGAGCAACACAUAGAAAUGAUAAAGAGAAAUGAUAAAACUAAUCCUUGUUUUAUAGAAUUUGUGUAUCACAAUACAAGAGAUUUUUACAGCUUCUUGCUAUAAAAAUAAUUCUUCAAAGGGAUUCACAAGGGUGAUGGACUGCCUUUUGCAUAAUGAGCCUGCGAGUUGUGGUGUCUGGCAAGGUUAAGCAAACGCGAAGCCGUAGCGAAAGCGAGUCUGAAUAGGGCAAAAAGUCAGAUGCUGCAGACCCGAAACGAAGUGAUCUAUCCAUGAGCAGCUUGAAGCUAGUGUAAGAGCUAGUGGAGGAGCGAACCCAUAGGCGUUGAAAAGCCCCGGGAUGACUUGUGGAUAGGGGUGAAAGGCCAAUCAAACUUCGUGAUAGCUGGUUCUCUCCGAAAUAUAUUGAGGUAUAGCGUUGUGAAGUAGCUUAGGGGGGUAGAGCACUGAAUGGGCUAGGGCAUACACCAAUGUACCAAACCCUAUCAAACUCCGAAUACCCUAAGUGGUAUCACAGCAGUCAGACGGCGAGUGAUAAAAUCCGUCGUCAAGAGGGAAACAACCCAGACUAUCAGCUAAGGUCCCCAAAUCUUACUUCAGUGGAAAACGAUGUGAAGUUACUCAAACAACCAGGAGGUUGGCUUAGAAGCAGCCAUCCUUUAAAGAAAGCGUAAUAGCUCACUGGUCUAGUGAUUUUGUGCGGAAAAUAUAACGGGGCUAAAGUAAGUACCGAAGCUAUAGACUUGCAUACAACUUAGACUGAUUGAUAAGCUUUUUAUGGAUAAGUUUUUUCAGUUCUUUAGAUUAAGUUUCUUUAUAAAACUUUUUAUAAAACUUUUUAUCAAUUCUUUAUUAUAAAGUUUUUGAGAUUUUUUAUAAACUUAGAAUAAAGGUUUUAAAAUUCUAAGAACUUUUAUGUUAAAUUGACUUGUUUUAAUGCUUGAUUUGAUUAAGGGCUUUAAUCAUUGAAUCUUAAAAAAGAUUAUGAGAAUGAUUAAACACAUACAAACACUCAAAUCAAAAAAGAUUAAGAUACAAUUUAAAUGAAAAUUAUAGAAAGAAUUAUAAAGAUUAUAAAGAAAAACUUUUAAAACAGAAGUUUAACAUCAAUCCCAAAGUAAAUUCUUUUUUAAGAGGAUGAAUUAAACUUUAAGAUAAAAACAAAUAAUAGAGAUAAAAUGAAAGAGCUUAUAAACCAAAGAAGCUUAUAAAAAGAAAAACUGAAAUUUUAAGUCAAAUAAUAAAAUAAAACAAUAAAAAAGAUUUAAAAUAAAAAAGAUUUAAAAUUUGAAAAGUUUUAAAAAAUCAAAAAAAGUUUUAGAAAAUUUUUAGAAAGCUUGAAAUAAAAAUUCAAAGCUCAAAUGCUUGAUAAAGAAUUCAAUUUCAAAGGUUUUCAUCAGCUUUAAUCAUCAAAGCAAAAAUUGAUUGUUUAAAAAAGCUUUUAUGACAAAGAAUUAAAUCAAGCAGUUUAAGUUGUGUGCAAGUGGUAGGAGAGCGUUCUAUUAGCGUUGAAGGUAUACCGGUAAGGAGUGCUGGAGCGAAUAGAAGUGAGCAUGCAGGCAUGAGUAGCGAUAAUUAAUGUGAGAAUCAUUAACGCCGAAAACCCAAGGUUUCCUACGCGAUGCUCGUCAUCGUAGGGUUAGUCGGGUCCUAAGCCAAGUCCGAAAGGGGUAGGCGAUGGCAAAUUGGUUAAUAUUCCAAUACCAACAUUAGUGUGCGAUGGAAGGACGCUUAGAGCUAGGAGGGCUAGCGGAUGGAAGUGCUAGUCUAAGGAUGUGAGUGCUUAUACAGGCAAAUCCGUAUAAGAAUACACUGAGGUCUUAAAGGCUCUUCAAAGUCUUCGGAUAGCGAGGAGAACCUCUGAUGCUGUCGAGCCAAGAAAAGUUUCUAAGUUUAGCUAAUGUUGCCCGUACCAUAAACCGACACAGGUGGGUGGGAUGAGUAUUCUAAGGCGCGUGGAAGAACUCUCUUUAAGGAACUCUGCAAAAUAGCACCGUAUCUUCGGUAUAAGGUGUGGUUCGCUUCGUAUUAGAAUUCACUUCGAAAGCGAAGAAACUUACAACAAAGAGUCCCUCCCGACUGUUUACCAAAAACACAGCACUCUGCUAACUCGUAAGAGGAUGUAUAGGGUGUGACGCCUGCCCGGUGCUCGAAGGUUAAUUGAUGGGGUUAGCAUCAGCGAAGCUCUUGAUCGAAGCCCGAGUAAACGGCGGCCGUAACUAUAACGGUCCUAAGGUAGCGAAAUUCCUUGUCGGUUAAAUACCGACCUGCAUGAAUGGCGUAACGAGAUGGGAGCUGUCUCAAAGAGGGAUCCAGUGAAAUUGUAGUGGAGGUGAAAAUUCCUCCUACCCGCGGCAAGACGGAAAGACCCCGUGGACCUUUACUAUAGCUUGACACUGCUGCUUGGAUAAGAAUGUGCAGGAUAGGUGGGAGGCUUUGAAUAUAUGACGCUAGUUGUAUAGGAGCCAUUGUUGAGAUACCACUCUUUCUUAUUUGGGUAGCUAACCAGCUUGAGUUAUCCUCAAGUGGGACAAUGUCUGGUGGGUAGUUUGACUGGGGCGGUCGCCUCCCAAAUAAUAACGGAGGCUUACAAAGGUUGGCUCAGAACGGUUGGAAAUCGUUCACAGAGUAUAAAGGCAAAAGCCAGCUUAACUGCAAGAGACACAACUCGAGCAGGGACGAAAGUCGGUCUUAGUGAUCCGGUGAUUCUGUGUGGAAGGGUCAUCGCUCAAAGGAUAAAAGGUACCCCGGGGAUAACAGGCUGAUCUCCCCCAAGAGCUCACAUCGACGGGGAGGUUUGGCACCUCGAUGUCGGCUCAUCGCAUCCUGGGGCUGGAGCAGGUCCCAAGGGUAUGGCUGUUCGCCAUUUAAAGCGGUACGCGAGCUGGGUUCAGAACGUCGUGAGACAGUUCGGUCCCUAUCUGCCGUGGGCGUAAGAAGAUUGAAGAGCUUUGACCCUAGUACGAGAGGACCGGGUUGAACAAACCACUGGUGUAGCUGUUGUCCUGCCAAGGGCAUCGCAGCGUAGCUAAGUUUGGAAAGGAUAAACGCUGAAAGCAUCUAAGCGUGAAGCCAACUCUAAGAUGAAUCUUCUCUAAGUUCUGUGCAAGACUAGCACUUUGAUAGGCUGGGUGUGUAAGAGAUGAAAGUCUUUGAGCUGACCAGUACUAAUAGAACGUUUGGCUUAUCUUA
This is a non-coding RNA of Campylobacter cuniculorum, 3898 nucleotides long. The record is from Rfam. NCBI's taxonomy places the organism in Bacteria, Pseudomonadati, Campylobacterota, Epsilonproteobacteria, Campylobacterales, Campylobacteraceae.